GAUGAACGCUGGCGGCGUGCCUAAUACAUGCAAGUCGAGCGAACAGAUGAGGAGCUUGCUCCUCUGACGUUAGCGGCGGACGGGUGAGUAACACGUGGAUAACCUACCUAUAAGACUGGGAUAACUUCGGGAAACCGGAGCUAAUACCGGAUAAUAUAUUGAACCGCAUGGUUCAAUAGUGAAAGACGGUUUUGCUGUCACUUAUAGAUGGAUCCGCGCCGCAUUAGCUAGUUGGUAAGGUAACGGCUUACCAAGGCAACGAUGCGUAGCCGACCUGAGAGGGUGAUCGGCCACCAUGGAACUGAGACACGGUCCAGACUCCUACGGGAGGCAGCAGUAGGGAAUCUUCCGCAAUGGGCGAAAGCCUGACGGAGCAACGCCGCGUGAGUGAUGAAGGUCUUCGGAUCGUAAAACUCUGUUAUUAGGGAAGAACAAAUGUGUAAGUAACUAUGCACGUCUUGACGGUACCUAAUCAGAAAGCCACGGCUAACUACGUG
This 497-nucleotide ribosomal RNA is filed under the name uncultured bacterium. RNAcentral describes it as "partial 16S ribosomal RNA". It matches the Rfam family "Bacterial small subunit ribosomal RNA", at positions 28 to 507 of the family's 1533-position model. The record is from RNAcentral.